AAAACAAAAGCCAACCCCCUCCCCUGCCACACACACCACAUCACAAAAAAAGGGAAAAUUAACGCGAACGAAGACAUUACCGUGCUCCCGCGCGUGUCGACUGUCGCGGUCUUUGUAGUUGCCGACGUUCGUUGCGUGCGUGCGCACAGUUUCCUUUUCUUAGACGGUAUCCCCCUCCCUCCCCGCACCCCUCUCCCCCUUCCUUUGCAGCUGUCCUUCCGCUCAGGUCUCCGCUGUCCCUGCGCACACAAAGAGCGAGCGGAACCUCAGUCGACCACACGCGCAGUCGUAGCGCGGGUGAUUUCUUGCUGCCAACGAGGCAGCACGCCCUCCUAGAAGUCCAUCGGUGUGUCUGUUCGUUGCUUUUCAACUCACGGCCAUGUCGCGUCCGUACGGAAAGAAAGGGUACGCCUUUCACAGCCGCAGCGGCCCCGGCGGUGGCGGCGUCGGCAUUCUUGGGAAUGGCAACAACAAUGGCGGUCGCAGCGGCGGCGACUUUGGUCGUGGUGGCGGUGGUGGUCGUUUCAACAAUCACCACCACGGCGGCGGCAAUCGUAACAACAGCCAUAGCGCCACUAACAACAGCGGCAGCAGCGGCGGCGCGGACGUGAUGAAGGUGCUCCUCUCUCUUCUCUUCGAGAAGUCGUACAGCCAGAUAUUCAACGAGGCAAACGGCCUGCUGAACUUGUCCAAUACCCGCGCCAGCCCCGACCUCGAGCCAGUGCAGAAGCGUGUGGACUACAACAGCGUCGCGUUCUGCAAGGUGCUGGCGGAGGUGCUUCGAGAGAAGUUCGCCGACCGCAUCCGUGUGCUGCAGCUGGACGACAACAGCAUCCGUCAGUUGAAGGUGCUGCUCACCGCGCUGGCAGACGCUGACAUUCACCGCGGCAUCACGGCCAUCUCUGCCCGCAACAACAGCAUCAACGACCUCUCCUUCGUCAGCGGGCUGAAGCGCUAUGACGGCCUCAACGAGCUUCUCCUCAUCGGCAACCCCGUCACGAACCAGAAGGACUACUCCACCCGCCUCAGUCGCGACCUGCCACGACUGAAUAUGAUCGACGGCGUCGCCGUGGACCGGGCUCUGCUGCGCCUGCCCAACCCGGUCAACUCAGCCCCGCCGUCGCAGCAGCAGCUCAGCGUCCUGCACUACCUUGAGCAGACCAUGUUUCAGUCCAUGGCCUCACGCAACUACGACGCCAUCACCUACCUGUACGGCUCUCAGUUCUCCGCACUGUCCAUCAGCCGUGGCCCAGAGCCGCUGCCCCAGCGUGUGCCCGUGAGCGCGGUGCUCAACACCGGCGACCUGGAGAAGCAGCUGCGCAACCAGAUGCAGGCCGACGUCUCCAAGCUGCGCUCGAGCCAAGACUUUCGCAACCUUGCCACGGACAGUGCGGGGUCGAUGCGUAACAUCGCUAAGGGUCCGCAGGAGAUCGUCUCGAAGCUGCGGAACAUGUGCGGCGGGGACAAAUCCAUUGCAGUGGAGAUCGAGUUCAACCCGAACUUUAGCGUGGUGAUGAUGGACCAGAGCUACCACAUGCGCGUACCCGUGUGCGUAGUAACGGUGCACGGCAAGAUGCGCUAUCUCUGGAACCCGAUCCGGCCGGAGACGCAGCAGUCCACCUUCCCUGCCGGCAAGGCCCCCAUGAUCUCCACGUUCUUCGACCGCACCCUGACCUUGACCUGGGACGGCAACACGAACGCAUGGUCGAUCGCGAACGACAUGGUGCUGAUGCGCCCAGACCGCGCUGUCGUGCAUGACGACGGCACCCCGAGCAGCCCGCUCUUCUUUGCUAAUACCCCGUCGCGCAUUGAGCAGAUGCGCCGGCGCCUGAUGCCCGGCAUUACUGCCGAUGUCAUGGCUGUCAUUGUCAACGCGACCAGCUCGGACGAAGAGGUGAAGCAGUCCAUCAUGCAGCUGCUCAUGCUGCCUCAAGAUCAGCUGCACGCCGUGGCGAGCGAUCCAGAGGCCGCGAAGCGUGCACUGGGGAUGUAGGACUAUGACAUCGAGUCGCAUGUGUGUGAUGGCCCCACAUCUCUCGAAGGAGCGAAAGGGGAGAGAUAGCAAAGAAGGGCGGAGGAAGGAGAUGAUCAAUGAAGCGCAAGAAACGGCAGUGCUGUACGCGUGCAUGCAUGUGUGUGUGUGUGUGUGUGUGUGUGUGUGUGUGUGCUUGUUUGUUUUUUUUACGCAAUGCGAUCAUCGUUCCUCGUCGUCUUUUGCGCCUGUGGGUCGCUGACAUGUGUGUUUUUUUCUGCCUUGGCGUCAUUUUCAUGGCUGUUGUGUGUCUUCUUCCUGUCGCCAGCGACAAGUUAGAUGCUUCGCCCUCCACCCCCCCCCCUCUCUCCUUUCGUUUUUUUUUGUGUUUUUUUUGGGGGGCUCUGGUUGUUUGCACAUGCUCCGUUGCAUGUACGCGUUUUGUGUGUGAGCGUCUGUGUGUUGACGUCGCUGUGUCCUCAUGUGUAAGUUGAGCAUGGGUCAGCCGUUUGGUUGGCAAGCUCUCUCUCGGUCUCUCCCUCUUUUCCUCCGUUCAUCUCGCUGCUCAAUGCUCGCCUGUGUGUGCGUGUGCGUACGUGUGCGGGUGUUUAAGCACACAGAAACAGUGCAGCGACAACAUAAGCUAUAAAGGAAACAAAAAAGAAGGAGGCCACCCCGAUUCUCCGGAGAGACUACCGUUAUUAUGAUCCCCGCCGACCACGCUUCCCUGCACGCUGCUGUGUGUGUUUGUGGGCAUGUGUAUUUGUUGUGCUUGUGAUGCAUUGCUUGCUUUGUUCUUCUUCCCCUCCCUUCUGCGUGUGUGUGUGUGUGUGUGUGUGUGUGUGUGUGUGUUUGUGUUUGUGUGCUUGUACCCCACUGUGCCUGUCCGCCAUCUUCUAAAAGCGAACAAGACAGCUAAAAACAG
This 2897-nucleotide unclassified non-coding RNA is filed under the name Leishmania donovani. RNAcentral's name for it is "gene:LdHU3.27.2420(CDS-product:hypothetical_prote in_conserved)". The record is from RNAcentral. Lineage: Eukaryota; Euglenozoa; Kinetoplastea; Trypanosomatida; Trypanosomatidae.